GGGUAGUAAUUUGAAACCUAAAGAAUUUGGCGGUUUUUAAACUUACUAGAGGAACCUGUCCUGUAAUCGAUAGUCCACGAAUUUAUUUACCUACCCUUGUAAUCAGCUUAUAUACCGCCGUUUAGUGAACUAAAUGAAUAGUUUCUCUAAAUUAACUAGUUAAAAAAAUCAGGUCAAGGUGUAGUUUAUGGGUAGGAAGAGAUGGGUUACAAUGAUAUUUUAAAUGGAUAUUAAGCUUUAGGGGUUAAUUGAAGGUGGAUUUAGAAGUAAAUAUUGACUAUUUGAAGAAAGCUCUUAAAAAUGUACACAU
Molecule: ribosomal RNA, 310 nt
Filed under: Streptocephalus namibiensis
Lineage: Eukaryota; Metazoa; Arthropoda; Branchiopoda; Anostraca; Streptocephalidae
Description: partial 12S ribosomal RNA
Source: RNAcentral